RNAcentral lists this ribosomal RNA (556 nucleotides) under Phyllopsora neofoliata. RNAcentral's name for it is "SSU rRNA". It matches the Rfam family "Bacterial small subunit ribosomal RNA", at positions 370 to 925 of the family's 1533-position model. Lineage: Eukaryota; Fungi; Ascomycota; Lecanoromycetes; Lecanorales; Ramalinaceae. The record is from RNAcentral.
AAUAGCCUAACGGCUGAACCAGCAACUUGGAGGAAUGAAUAGCAAUAGCUAAUUGCACAUAUGUAUGAUGCAAUAUCGACUCAGUCGAAUAAAAUUCUGGCUAGAAUUAUGAUAAUGACAUUGUCUAGCCAUGUGUCUUGACCAAAUUACGUGCCAGCAGUCGCGGUAAUACGUAGAAGACUAGUGUUAUUCAUCUUUAAUAGGUUUAAAGGGUACCCAGACGGUAAAUUAAGCCCUAGACGGGACUAAUUUGCUAGAGUUACUUACACGGGGGUUCUAAAGUACUAAUGGUGUAGAGAUAAAAUUUUGUAAUACCAUUUUUUGAAAGAAAAGUUAUGGCACUGAUAAAGGCGAAAGCAUCCCCUUAUGUGAUAACUGACGUUGAAGGACGAAGGCUUUGGAUCGCGAAUAGGAUUAGGUACCCUAAUAGUCUAAGCAGAUAAUUAUGAGUGUCAUAGAUUAGAAAUUAAUUUUAUUCUAUAAAUGAAAGUGUAAGCACUCCACCUCAAGAGUAAUUUGGCAACAUUGGAACUGAAAUCAUUAGACCGUUUCUGAA